GAUGAAGAACGUAGUGAAAUGCGAUAAGUAAUGUGAAUUGCAGAAUUCAGUGAAUCAUCGAAUCUUUGAACGCACAUUGCGCCCGCCAGUAUUCUGGCGGGCAUGCCUGUUCGAGCGUCAUUACAACCCUCAGGCCCCCGGGCCUGGCGUUGGGGAUCGGCGGAAGCCCCCUGUGGGCACACGCCGUCCCUCAAAUACAGUGGCGGUCCCGCCGCAGCUUCCAUUGCGUAGUAGCUAACACCUCGCAACUGGAGAGCGGCGCGGCCAUGCCGUAAAACACCCAACUUCUGAAUGUUGACCUCGAAUCAGGUAGGAAUACCCGCUGAACUUAAGCAUAUCAAUAAGCGGAGGA
This 352-nucleotide unclassified non-coding RNA is filed under the name soil metagenome. RNAcentral describes it as "partial contains 5.8S ribosomal RNA, internal transcribed spacer 2, and large subunit ribosomal RNA". The stretch from base 1 to 120 matches the Rfam family "5.8S ribosomal RNA", at positions 35 to 154 of the family's 154-position model. The record is from RNAcentral.